UUUUUCCUUGGAAUAAAAAAAGGAUUUAAUUCCCAACUGGAUUUUUCCUUGGAAAAUUUGCCCUCAGGCCCAGCAAGGAGCUGAGUAAAGCUUGGAGCUGCCAGUGUCUCCCGCUGGGUUGGAGAGCGUUUCCCUGGGAGAGGAGGCCGGGAAGAGCGAGCUGAUGAACGAGGACAUCCGGAUCCAUUCCUGGCCUUGCUCCUACUACCUGGACACCAGCAAACAAUGGAUCCCCGGGAAGCUCUCCCUGACUCCCCUUUCCAUCAAAUUCACUGCUGACAAAACGGGAGAGCUCCUGGUGGAUUUCCAUCUUUCCGGGAUCAGCGAGAUCAAGAAGGAAUCUUCCCAUUUAAUAUUCAGCUCCCUCACCAUCCUGGAGAAGGGCACCAAGCACUGGUUCAGCUCCCUGCAUCCCAACAGGAAUGUGGUGUUCAACAUCCUGGAGCAUUUCUGGAGGGAGCAGCUGGUGUCCAGCCAGGAGGCCGGAGCGGGGGCGGCCUUGGAAUCCAGCAAGGGCAAGGAAUUAACGGGAAUGUUGGAGGGAUCCCAGAAACGCCUGGAGGACACGGCCAAGGUGCUGCAUUCCCAGGGGGAACAGUUUGACAACAUCAUGAAGGGACUCCACAAGAUCGAGGGGGACAUGGAUGUGGCUGACAGGCUGUUAACAGAGCUGGAAUCUCCUUCCUGGUGGCCCUUCAGCACCAAACUCUGGAAAACCCCUCUGGAAGCAAAGCCCAAGGAAACCCCCGCUGCUCCGGAUGCCAAAAACCAGGAAGGAAUCCUGCUGCGAAUCCCCGUGAUCAUCACCCACAGGACAGAUUCCAACGCCAAACCCGGCAAACUCACGGUGCUUCCCUCCGGCCUGGAAAUCAAGGAUUGCAAUUCCCAGCUCCUGCACCGCUUCGAAUCCCGGGAUGUGGAUGACAUCCGCGUGCACACUCCCUACGAGAUCAGCAUCCGGCAGAGGUUCAUCGGCAAGCCCGACACUUCCUACCGGCUCCUGGCGGCGCGCAUGCCGGAGGUCAUUCCCAUCCUGGAGAUGCAGUUCAGCAAGAAAAUCCAAUUUUUGGAGGAUGCUCUUGGAUUUGCUGGAGCCAGGAAGUCCCCUCAGGCGGAUUUGGGAACGUCCAUCUGGCAGGCAGGCAGGAUUUUUUCCUUACUAUGGAAUUUCUCUGGCAGCCACGGGAUUCCUGGGAGCCGCGGUGAAUCCCGGAUUGCCGGCGGGAAGCGCCGAAGGGACGGACAAGGAGCAGGUGCAGCUGCAGAAAGUAUCCCAGGAGGAAGCCAAGGAGCUCCGACAGAUCCUGAGGAAGCUCAAGGGCCUGGCCCUGGAGACGGAAGCGGAGCUGGAGAGGCAGGACGAGGCCCUGGAUUCCAUCGGCAGCGCCGUGGAUCGCGCCACGCUCAACAUCGAUCGGCAGAACCGCAGGAUGAGGAAGCUGACGUAACUUCCCGGCGGGAACGGGAACGCCGGGAAGAGCAGCAGGGUGGGGGAGCCGGGAUUUUCAGGACUGGUUUUUCCACAGACACUUUGGGAGGGGUUUGGGAGGAGGUCUGGAAAAUGGCGCUGCUGGGGGUGAGUUCCUGAGAGGAUUGAAACGAUUCCUGGACUUGGAUGAGGUUUGGAUCUUGAAUGGCGGUUGGAUCUUGGAUGAGGUUUGGAUGUUGGAUGAUGGUUGGAUCUUGGAUGAGGUUUGGAUCUUGGACAGUGUUUGGAUUUUGGAUGAUGUUUGGAUCUGGGAUGGCAGUUGGAUGUUGGAUGAGGUUUGGAUCUUGGAUGAGGUUUGGAU
RNA transcript from Onychostruthus taczanowskii (white-rumped snowfinch), 1790 nucleotides. It is a transcript of the gene named synaptosome associated protein 47, with no coding region annotated. The record is from RefSeq and is a predicted model, not a curated record. Lineage: Eukaryota; Metazoa; Chordata; Aves; Passeriformes; Passeridae. The transcript has 6 exons.